This is an RNA transcript of Vigna angularis (adzuki bean), 1566 nucleotides long. RefSeq lists it as uncharacterized. Lineage: Eukaryota; Viridiplantae; Streptophyta; Magnoliopsida; Fabales; Fabaceae. The transcript is spliced from 6 exons. The record is from RefSeq and is a predicted model, not a curated record.
GAAAGAAAAUGAUCAAUCCAUUUCUUGUUGUUUGUUUGGUGAUAACUGGUUUUAGCAUACCAGUUCAUGGUUUUCAAGAUACACUCAAAGUAGAUUUGGAGCUUGAAAAACAACUAAAGCUAAUCAAUAAGCCUCCUAUCAAAACUAUUCAUACAAAAAAUGGAGACAUUGUUGAUUGUAUUGAUAUUUAUAAACAACUAGCAUUUGAUCAUCCAUUAUUAAAGGAUCACAAGUUAUAGAGAAAACCUAGUUUUCAAAAAUCAAGUACGAAGAAUUUAGCAAAUAAGCCUAAUUUUAACCUUGAAAAAGUCCAAUGUCCUAAAGGGUCUAUUCCUACUCGGAGAACAACAAAAGAAGAUCUCAUUUGAGAAAAAAAUUUAUUAAAUAAUAGUAUUCUUCUUCGAGACAUUCCUGGUGUUCAUCUUGCAGAAUUAGCUCUUUCAUCGAAUUUUAGUCCAUACUAUGCCGUUAAAGGACGAAACAGCGUUUAUAAUCCACCGAUCACUAAGGGUCAAAUGUCUCUUUCUCAUGUGUGGGUUCAAAAUGGACCCAUAAGUUCUAACAAUAAAAUCAGUUUUGGAUGGCAAGUGAGUCUUAAUUUUAUUAUUAAACCCUUUUUUCCAAUAAAUAUUAUAUGAACAAUAUAUUUAAUUUGUGUUUAUUUGUGUGCAAUCUCACAUUUUGAUACAGGUGAGUCUAGAUUUGUAUGGUGACAAUAAAACUCAUUUAUACGCAUCAUGGACGAAAGACAACUUUCAAAAGACAGGAUGUUACAAUGUUCGAUGUCCAGGUUUUGUUCAAACCAAUUACCAACUUUAUCUUGGCGCAGAGACCGGAGAUGUAUCUUCUUAUGGUGGACCAGUUUUUGAUUCUAUCCAGUAUAUUGCUAUGGACCCAAAAACCAAAAACUGGUGGGUUCAUACAACAGGUGAAGAUAUUGGAUAUUUUCCAGCAAAGUUAUUCUCUAACUUAGCUUCGGCAGAUAAAGUAGGGUGGGGUGGAAGAACAUUAACUCCUCACGGUUCUCGCAGCCCUCAAAUGGGGUCUGGACAUUUUCCUGAUAAAGACUAUUAUCAUGCAUGUUAUUUCAGAACUAUUUCUUUUCAAAAUGCAUCUAGAAUAAUGUAUGGACCGGAAAGAUAUCAAACUGAAAAGUACGUUGACAAACCUAGAUGUUAUGACCUUAAGUACUACGGCAAUGUUCAUGACAUUGGUGGAUAUAUGCUCCAAUUUGGAGGACCUGGUGGUAAGUGUGAUGAUUAGUCUAAUUUUAGUUAUUUAUGAACUUCAAAAAUAAAUAUUGUUACUAUCAUUAUUAUUAAUAUUUUUUUUUCUAAAAUUCUGGUGUUUUGAUCUAUACAUUUAAUAUUUCGAUACAUUGUUAAGAUAAUAGCGCACAACAUUCGCAUCAUAAGAUAAGAUAUGACCAUAUUAAAUACAAUACCAAAAAAUAUCAACCAAUGUAAUAUGAAUAUAAAUAAAGCAUUGAUAAACCCACACCUUGGCAAAACAUAGAUACAACUAUAACCUAUUAUUCUGAAUUUUUUAAAAAGCAACGCCUCUAGC